UCUUCGGGUGAGAGUGGCAGACGGGUGAGUAACACGUGGGAACAUACCCUUCGGUUCGAAACAACGCCGGGAAACUGGCGCUAAUACCGGAUACGCCCUUUUGGGGAAAGGCUCGCUGCCGAAGGAUUGGCCCGCGUUCGAUUAGCUUGUUGGUGAGGUAACGGCUCACCAAGGCGACGAUCGAUAGCUGGUCUGAGAGGAUGGCCAGCCACAUUGGGACUGAGACACGGCCCAA
This 235-nucleotide ribosomal RNA is filed under the name uncultured bacterium. RNAcentral describes it as "partial 16S ribosomal RNA". It matches the Rfam family "Bacterial small subunit ribosomal RNA", at positions 82 to 334 of the family's 1533-position model. The record is from RNAcentral.